CCUACGGGUGGCAGCAGUGGGGAAUAUUGGACAAUGGGGGGAACCCUGAUCCAGUGACGCCGCGUGAGUGAAGAAGUAUUUCGGUAUGUAAAGCUCUAUCAGCAGGGAAGAAAGAAAUGACGGUACCUGACUAAGAAGCCCCGGCUAACUACGUGCCAGCAGCCGCGGUAAUACGUAGGGGGCAAGCGUUAUCCGGAUUUACUGGGUGUAAAGGGAGCGUAGACGGCGAUGCAAGUCUGAAGUGAAAGGCGGGGGCCCAACCCCCGGACUGCUUUGGAAACUGUAUGGCUGGAGUACAGGAGAGGUAAGUGGAAUUCCUAGUGUAGCGGUGAAAUGCGUAGAUAUUAGGAGGAACACCAGUGGCGAAGGCGGCUUACUGGACUGUAACUGACGUUGAGGCUCGAAAGCGUGGGGAGCAAACAGGAUUAGAUACCCUAGUAGUC
This 443-nucleotide ribosomal RNA is filed under the name uncultured bacterium. RNAcentral describes it as "partial 16S ribosomal RNA". It matches the Rfam family "Bacterial small subunit ribosomal RNA", at positions 338 to 795 of the family's 1533-position model. The record is from RNAcentral.